This 254-nucleotide ribosomal RNA is filed under the name uncultured bacterium. Its description in RNAcentral is "partial 16S ribosomal RNA". It matches the Rfam family "Bacterial small subunit ribosomal RNA", at positions 524 to 776 of the family's 1533-position model. The record is from RNAcentral.
UACGGGGGGAGCAAGCGUUGUUCGGAUUUACUGGGCGUAAAGGGCGCGUAGGCGGUCAGCACAAGUCAGUUGUGAAAUCUCCGAGCUUAACUCGGAAAGGUCAACUGAUACUGUGCGACUAGAGUGCAGAAGGGGCAACUGGAAUUCUUGGUGUAGCGGUGAAAUGCGUAGAUAUCAAGAGGAACACCUGCGGCGAAGGCGGGUUGCUGGGCUGACACUGACGCUGAGGCGCGAAAGCGUGGGGAGCAAACAGG